UGCGAGGUGGAGUAGACGGUAACUUAUCAGGCUCAUAAUCUGAAGAUCGUAGGUUCAAUCCCUACUCUCGCAU
Baffinella frigidus is the source of this 73-nucleotide non-coding RNA. NCBI's taxonomy places the organism in Eukaryota, Cryptophyceae, Cryptomonadales, Baffinellaceae. The record is from the annotation of a GenBank genome assembly.